GAAGAAGGUAGGAAGGGCACACGGUGGAUGCCUAGGCGCCAGGAGCCGAUGAAGGACGGGGCGAACACCGAAAUGCCUCGGGGAGCUGUAAGCGAGCUGAGAUCCGGGGAUGUCCGAAUGGGGGAACCCACCACCCUUUGUAGGGUGGUACCUGCAGGUGAAUCCAUAGCCUGCAGGGGGCAACCAGGGGAACUGAAACAUCUUAGUACCCUGAGGAAGAGAAAGCAACCGCGAUUUCCUAAGUAGCGGCGAGCGAACGGGAAGGAGCCUAAACCGGGCACUGCGGUGUCCGGGGUCGUGGGGCGUCUCAUAUGGAGUGACAAAGGAGUUGGGUAGGUGAAACGGACUGGAACGUCCUGCCGGAGAAGGUGAAAGCCCUGUAACCGAAACCUGACUCCCUCCGAGACGGACCCCGAGUACCGCGGGACACGGGAAAUCCCGCGGGAAUCUGGGAGGACCACCUCCUAAGGCUAAAUACUCCCUGGCGACCGAUAGUGGAGCAGUACCGUGAGGGAAAGGUGAAAAGCACCCCGGGAGGGGAGUGAAAGAGGACCUGAAACCGUGUGCCUACAAGCAGUCGGAGCACGUUAGAUGUGUGACGGCGUGCCUUUUGUAGAAUGAACCGGCGAGUGACGUUUGCGUGCGAGGUUAAGGCUUGAAAGGCCGGAGCCGCAGCGAAAGCGAGUCUGAAGAGGGCGGAUAGUACGCAGGCGUCGACCCGAAACCGGGUGAGCUACCCAUCUCCAGGGUGAAGGCAGGGUAAAGCCUGCUGGAGGCCCGCACCCACGCACGUUGAAAAGUGCGGGGAUGAGGGGUGGGUAGGGGUGAAAUGCCAAUCGAACCCGGAGAUAGCUGGUUCUCCCCGAAAUAGCUUUAGGGCUAGCCUCAAGGGGAAAGACGCGGAGGUAGAGCACUGAUUGGACGCGGGGCCCGCAAGGGUUACCAACUUCAGUCAAACUCCGAAUGCCGCGGACUUGUUCCUUGGGAGUCAGACCAUGGGUGAUAAGAUUCAUGGUCGAGAGGGAAACAGCCCAGACCAUCAGCUAAGGUCCCAAAAUGUACGCUAAGUGGGAAACGAUGUGGCGCUGCGAAGACAACCAGGAUGUUGGCUUAGAAGCAGCCAUCAUUUAAAGAGUGCGUAAUAGCUCACUGGUCGAGUGGCGCUGCGCGGAAAAUGUAACGGGGCUAAGCGUACUACCGAAGCUAUGGAUGCCUGUAUGGCGUGGUAGGGGAGCGUUCUGUCCUGGCAGAAGCCAGACCGGAAGGACUGGUGGACGGGACAGAAGUGAGAAUGCCGGUAUGAGUAACGAAAAGAGGGGUGAGAAUCCCCUCCGCCGAAAGCCUAAGGGUUCCUGAGGAAGGUUCGUCCGCUCAGGGUCAGUCGGGACCUAAGCUGAGGCCGAAAGGCGUAGGCGAUGGAGAACAGGUUGAUAUUCCUGUACCACAUGGCUCCGCCUGAGCGAUGGGGUGACGCAGGAGGGCAGGGGAAGCGCGCGGCUGGAAGAGCGCGUCCAAGCGGCAAGAGGGGUGGAUAGGCAAAUCCGUCCACCGGAGACCUCAAGCCGUGACGGGGAGGGAAAUUUGAGUACCGAAGUCCCUGGGCUCACACUGCCAAGAAAAGCCUCUAGCGAGGAGUCAUGUGCCCGUACCGCAAACCGACACAGGUAGGCGGGGUGAGGAACCUCAGGCGCUCGGGAGAACUCUCGUUAAGGAACUCGGCAAAAUGACCCCGUAACUUCGGGAGAAGGGGUGCUCCUUGGGGUGAAUAGCCCUGGGGAGCCGCAGUGACCAGGCCCAAGCGACUGUUUAGCAAAAACACAGGUCUCUGCUAAGCCGCAAGGCGACGUAUAGGGGCUGACGCCUGCCCGGUGCUGGAAGGUUAAGGGGAAGGGUUAGUGACCACCCCAAAAAGUGUUACUUUUUGGGGGCCCUGGUUGCGAAGCUCUGAACCGAAGCCCCAGUAAACGGCGGCCGUAACUAUAACGGUCCUAAGGUAGCGAAAUUCCUUGUCGGGUAAGUUCCGACCCGCACGAAAGGCGUAACGACUUGGGCACUGUCUCAACGAGAGACCCGGUGAAAUUGUACUCCCUGUGAAGAUGCAGGGUACCCGCGACAAGACGGAAAGACCCCGUGGAGCUUGACUGCAACCUGAUAUUGAAACUUGGUCUGUCCUGUACAGGAUAGGUGGGAGCCUUAGAAAUUCGCUCGCCAGGGCGGAUGGAGGCGCCGUUGGGAUACCACCCUGGGCAGGCUGAGUUUCUCACCUGCCGCCCUGAAUCGGGUGGAGGGACCGUGUCAGGCGGGCAGUUUGACUGGGGCGGUCGCCUCCUAAAAGGUAACGGAGGCGCCCGAAGGUUCCCUCAGCGCGGUUGGAAAUCGCGCGUGGAGUGUAAAGGCAGAAGGGAGCUUGACUGCGAGACCGACGGGUCGAGCAGGGACGAAAGUCGGGCUUAGUGAUCCGGUGGUACUGAGUGGAAGGGCCAUCGCUCAACGGAUAAAAGCUACCCCGGGGAUAACAGGCUUAUCUCCCCCAAGAGUCCACAUCGACGGGGAGGUUUGGCACCUCGAUGUCGGCUCAUCGCAUCCUGGGGCUGGAGUAGGUCCCAAGGGUUGGGCUGUUCGCCCAUUAAAGCGGUACGCGAGCUGGGUUCAGAACGUCGUGAGACAGUUCGGUCCCUAUCUGUCGCGGGCGCAGGAAAUUUGAGAGGCUCUGUCCCUAGUACGAGAGGACCGGGAUGGACAUACCGCUGGUGUACCAGUUGUUCCGCCAGGAGCAGACGCUGGGUAGCCAAGUAUGGAAGGGAUAAGCGCUGAAAGCAUCUAAGCGCCAAGCCCGCCUCAAGAUGAGAUUUCCCACAGCGCAAGCUGGUAAGACCCCUUAGAGAUGAUGAGGUGGAUCGGUCCGGUGUGGAAGCGUGGUGACACGUGGAGCUGACGGAUACGAAUGGGUCGAGGACUUCUUUCA
Bacillus thermozeamaize is the source of this 2965-nucleotide non-coding RNA. Lineage: Bacteria; Bacillati; Bacillota; Bacilli; Caryophanales; Bacillaceae. The record is from Rfam.